Molecule: long non-coding RNA, 484 nt
Filed under: Anser brachyrhynchus (Pink-footed goose)
Lineage: Eukaryota; Metazoa; Chordata; Aves; Anseriformes; Anatidae
Description: lncRNA (ENSABRG00000006741.1)
Source: RNAcentral
CAAAAGCUCCAGACGGUUCCAGAAGAUGCACUUACAUGGCAGUGGUUUGGAAAUCAAGGAUACCUAUGAGCAGCAAUAACAAACAGGAUUGAUUUUGACUUUAAAGCUGGAUCACCAACUUGCUGAGGUCAGGCCAAGUACUGGGAAAACAUAAAAUGACAAUCCUGACUGAAGUACUCUGAUGAGGAGAAUCCUUACCAUUCCCAUGUGCCAGAUUACUGCUGCAUCCUGUGCAAAUCCUGUAAUUCACUGAGAAGGAAUGUAGGGUCAAGGGGAAGUAUUUUACUUACUGUGGCAGAUGCAUGGAAAGAAACUUCUAACAGAAGAAUGCUGAUGGACAGUAUUAAUUAUCCUGCAGGCUGAUAAUAUCUAAAUAUUUGAAAGGCAUAAACUUUCCCUGAAGCACAAGGGACUAUGAAGGCUGUUCCUCCUGGUUCUUUGAAGCUGUGAUCUGGUAUGGGGAAUAAAUGCUAACAGCAAUGCA